This 254-nucleotide ribosomal RNA is filed under the name uncultured bacterium. RNAcentral describes it as "partial 16S ribosomal RNA". It matches the Rfam family "Bacterial small subunit ribosomal RNA", at positions 524 to 776 of the family's 1533-position model. The record is from RNAcentral.
UACGGGGGGAGCAAGCGUUGUUCGGAUUUACUGGGCGUAAAGGGCGCGUAGGCGGCCACCGCAAGUCGACUGUGAAAUCUCCGAGCUUAACUCGGAACGGUCAACUGAUACUGUGCGGCUAGAGUGCGGAAGGGGCAACUGGAAUUCUUGGUGUAGCGGUGAAAUGCGUAGAUAUCAAGAGGAACACCUGCGGCGAAGGCGGGUUGCUGGGCCGACACUGACGCUGAGGCGCGAAAGCCAGGGGAGCGAACGGG